CAGCACCUCAAGUGGGCAGGAUGAUUAUUGGGCCUAAAGCAUCCGUAGCCGGCUCUGUAAGUUUUCGGUUAAAUCUGUACGCUCAACGUACAGGCUGCCGGGAAUACUGCAGAGCUAGGGAGUGGGAGAGGUAGACGGUACUCGGUAGGAAGGGGUAAAAUCCUUUGAUCUAUUGAUGACCACCUGUGGCGAAGGCGGUCUACCAGAACACGUCCGACGGUGCGGGAUGAAAGCUGGGGGAGCAAACCGGAUUAGAUACCCGAGUAGUCC
Molecule: ribosomal RNA, 270 nt
Filed under: uncultured archaeon
Lineage: Archaea
Description: partial 16S ribosomal RNA
Rfam family: Archaeal small subunit ribosomal RNA
Source: RNAcentral